Molecule: long non-coding RNA, 924 nt
Organism: Papaver somniferum (opium poppy)
Lineage: Eukaryota; Viridiplantae; Streptophyta; Magnoliopsida; Ranunculales; Papaveraceae
Exons: 3
Source: RefSeq, a predicted model, not a curated record
ACCCCCCUGAACAAGUGAAUCAGGAAUGCUGAAGGUUUAUGAUCGUAUCAUCCUCUGGAAAUCUGUGUAUGAUCGGCCCCUGAAUUUGAAUGAAGAUGACUAUCAUGAGUUAGCAUGAUUCCAAAGAGGAAAAAGAAGAUGAUAUGGUUCCGGUGAGUGAUUCUGGUGGCAAUAAUAGUGACGAAGAGGAUGUGGUUUCUGUUAGUGGUGGCAUAGAGGAGGAGGAGGAUGAAGCAGAUGAAGUUUUUACAGGUGCUGCUGCUCCUGUUGUUUUUCCUAUAUCCCGCCCCUCAAGUUGUUUGUGUUACUGAUGUGGGUGCUGCUGAGUAUGAGGACGAGGAGGCUGGUGCUGAUGAUGAAGAGGACAACAACGAGGAUGAGGAGGAUUCGUGGUAAAGAAUGACCUUUAGGUCGUGCAGAGAGGCAGAAGAUGAUGACAAAGUUUAUGAGGAGGAUAUUGAGAGUGAGGAGAAAGUCGAAGAUGGUAUUCUCUUUUAAUACCUUUUCAAUUUAUUUUUGUAGUGUAUUGUGUUGUUCUUACUAUGGCUGCAUAAAUUUUUGAUUGUUUUUCGCCUUAAUUUUUGUGUCAGAGUUUCAGGUAUCUUAGCUAAAACAAAGCUGUUUAUCUUUUUUCUGCAAAUCCGUAGUCUUAAGAACAAGCUUAUAUACGUGAACUGUAGGUUUCAUCUAGCUUGUUUAUACAAACAUUUGCAGUGGCACUUUGUUAAUCUCGUUCAAGUAAAGCAAGCAAGAUGCUUCCUGUAAAGCCUGUUAACUUUGUCUACCCCUUUCUAAUUCUAGUUCCUCUCUGGUCUUUUCAAAAUGACCGAUAAAGGGUUACGGUAUAGUUCUCUUUAUAACAUUUCUGGUCGUAUUGUCAUGUUUUCGCUUGUACUGAGAUACAGUUUUGUCCCUUAGUUUCCA